This 460-nucleotide ribosomal RNA is filed under the name uncultured bacterium. RNAcentral's name for it is "partial 16S ribosomal RNA". It matches the Rfam family "Bacterial small subunit ribosomal RNA", at positions 338 to 795 of the family's 1533-position model. The record is from RNAcentral.
CCUACGUGCGGCAGCAGUGAGGAAUAUUGGUCAAUGGACGGAAGUCUGAACCAGCCAUGCCGCGUGCAGGAAGACGGCUCUAUGAGUUGUAAACUGCUUUUGUACAAGGGUAAACCUGAAUACGUGUAUUCAGCUGAAAGUACUGUACGAAUAAGGAUCGGCUAACUCCGUGCCGGCAGCCGCGGUAAUACGUAGGUGGCAAGCGUUAUCCGGAAUGACUGGGCGUAAAGGGUGCGUAGGUGGUUUAGUAAGUUGGAGGUGAAAUUCCGGGGCUCAACCUCGGCGCUACCGCCAAAACUGUGAGGCUAGAGUGCAGUAGGGGUAAGUGGAAGUCCUGGUGUAGCGGUGGAAUGCGUAGAUAUUAGGAGGAACAUCAGGGGCGAAGGCGACUUACUGGACUGUAACUGACACUGAGGCACGAAAGCGUGGGGAGCAAACAGGAUUAGAUACCCCAGUAGUC